Molecule: ribosomal RNA, 254 nt
Filed under: uncultured prokaryote
Description: partial 16S ribosomal RNA
Rfam family: Bacterial small subunit ribosomal RNA
Source: RNAcentral
UACGUAGGGUGCGAGCGUUAUCCGGAUUUAUUGGGUUUAAAGGGUGCGUAGGCGGCUUAGUAAGUCAGCGGUGAAAUUUUGCAGCUUAACUGUAACAGUGCCGUUGAUACUGCCAGGCUAGGAUUUGGUUGCUGUGGGUGGAAUGUGUGGUGUAGCGGUGAAAUGCUUAGAUAUCACACAGAAUAUCGAUUGCGAAGGCAGCUCACAAAGCCAAGAUUGACGCUGAGGCACGAAAGUGUGGGGAUCAAACAGGA